RNAcentral lists this ribosomal RNA (444 nucleotides) under Bacillus sp. AmSamHD81. Its description in RNAcentral is "bacterial SSU rRNA". It matches the Rfam family "Bacterial small subunit ribosomal RNA", at positions 76 to 508 of the family's 1533-position model. The record is from RNAcentral. Lineage: Bacteria; Bacillati; Bacillota; Bacilli; Caryophanales; Bacillaceae.
AGCUGCUCCGGAGUUAGCGGCGGACGGGUGAGUAACACGUAGGUAACCUGCCCCUUAGACUGGGAUAACUCCGGGAAACCGGAGCUAAUACGGGAUAAUAAAGAGAAUCGCCUGAUUUUCUUUUGAAAGACGGCGUCUAGCUGUCACUAAGGGAUGGACCUGCGGCGCAUUAGCUAGUUGGUAAGGUAACGGCUUACCAAGGCGACGAUGCGUAGCCGACCUGAGAGGGUGAUCGGCCACACUGGGACUGAGACACGGCCCAGACUCCUACGGGAGGCAGCAGUAGGGAAUCUUCCGCAAUGGACGAAAGUCUGACGGAGCAACGCCGCGUGAGUGAGGAAGGCCUUCGGGUCGUAAAGCUCUGUUGUGAGGGAAGAACAAGUGCCGGCGUAACUACCGGCACCUUGACGGUACCUCACCAGAAAGCCACGGCUAACUACGUGC